Molecule: non-coding RNA, 73 nt
Organism: Ixodes scapularis (black-legged tick)
Lineage: Eukaryota; Metazoa; Arthropoda; Arachnida; Ixodida; Ixodidae
Source: Rfam
GCCUCGGUGGCUCCGAAGCGAGAGCGCCGGCCUACGGAUCCCCAGGUGGCGGGUUCGAAUCCCGACCGAGGUG